GUGGGGAAUAUUGGACAAUGGGCGCAAGCCUGAUCCAGCCAUACCGCGUGGGUGAAGAAGGCCUUCGGGUUGUAAAGCCCUUUUGUUGGGAAAGAAAUCCUAUCGAUUAAUACUCGGUGGGGAUGACGGUACCCAAAGAAUAAGCACCGGCUAACUUCGUGCCAGCAGCCGCGGUAAUACGAAGGGUGCAAGCGUUACUCGGAAUUACUGGGCGUAAAGCGUGCGUAGGUGGUUGUUUAAGUCUGCUGUGAAAGCCCUGGGCUCAACCUGGGAAUUGCAGUGGAUACUGGGCAACUAGAGGGUGGUAGAGGGAUGCGGAAUUUCUGGUGUAGCAGUGAAAUGCGUAGAGAUCAGAGGGAACAUCCGUGGCGAAGGCGGCAUCCUGGGCCAACACUGACACUGAGGCACGAAAGCGUGGGGAGCAAACAGGAUUAGAAACCCUGGUAGUCC
RNAcentral lists this ribosomal RNA (450 nucleotides) under uncultured bacterium. RNAcentral describes it as "partial 16S ribosomal RNA". It matches the Rfam family "Bacterial small subunit ribosomal RNA", at positions 354 to 796 of the family's 1533-position model. The record is from RNAcentral.